Non-coding RNA from Salmo salar (Atlantic salmon), 54 nucleotides. Lineage: Eukaryota; Metazoa; Chordata; Actinopteri; Salmoniformes; Salmonidae. The record is from Rfam.
UGCAUUCACUACUGUAAGUCGCUCUGGAUAAGAGCGUCCGCUAAAUGACUUUAA